RNAcentral lists this ribosomal RNA (459 nucleotides) under uncultured bacterium. RNAcentral's name for it is "partial 16S ribosomal RNA". It matches the Rfam family "Bacterial small subunit ribosomal RNA", at positions 338 to 795 of the family's 1533-position model. The record is from RNAcentral.
CCUACGGGAGGCAGCAGUGAGGAAUAUUGGUCAAUGGGCGGGAGCCUGAACCAGCCAAGCCGCGUGAGGGAAGAAGGUACAGCGUAUCGUAAACCUCUUUUGUCAGGGAACAAAGGCGGGGCCUAGUCCCCGGAUGAGGGUACCUGAAGCAAAAGCAUCGGCUAACUCCGUGCCAGCAGCCGAGGUAAUACGGGGGAUGCGAGCGUUAUCCGGAGUUAUUGGGUUUAAGGGGUGCGCAGGCGGCCUGUUCAGUCAGAGGUAAAAGCCCGGGGCUAAACCCCGGCGAGCCGUUGAAACUGGCGGGCUGGAGUGGGAGAGAAGUACGCGGAAUGCGCGGUGUAGCGGUGAAAUGCGUAGAGAUCGCGCAGAACCCCGAUUGCGAAGGCAGCGUACCGGCUCCACACUGACGCUGAGGCACGAAAGCGUGGGUAGCGAACAGGAUUAGAUACCCCGGUAGUC